Molecule: ribosomal RNA, 450 nt
Filed under: uncultured bacterium
Lineage: Bacteria
Description: partial 16S ribosomal RNA
Rfam family: Bacterial small subunit ribosomal RNA
Source: RNAcentral
GUGGGGAAUUUUGGACAAUGGACGCAAGUCUGAUCCAGCCAUUCCGCGUGCAGGAUGAAGGCCCUCGGGUUGUAAACUGCUUUUGUACGGAACGAAAAGGCUUUUUCUAAUACAGAGAGCUCAUGACGGUACCGUAAGAAUAAGCACCGGCUAACUACGUGCCAGCAGCCGCGGUAAUACGUAGGGUGCAAGCGUUAAUCGGAAUUACUGGGCGUAAAGCGUGCGCAGGCGGUUAUGUAAGACAGGUGUGAAAUCCCCGGGCUUAACCUGGGAACUGCAUUUGUGACUGCAUAGCUAGAGUACGGUAGAGGGGGAUGGAAUUCCGCGUGUAGCAGUGACAUGCGUAGAUAUGCGGAGGAACACCGAUGGCGAAGGCAAUCCCCUGGACCUGUACUGACGCUCAUGCACGAAAGCGUGGGGAGCAAACAGGAUUAGAAACCCCGGUAGUCC